ACAACCCAGGGGUUGAAUUAUUUAUCGCGGGCUUUUCUUCAGGAGAGAGCAGUGUAACGUUAGUUCCAUCAAAUUGGUGCUUGUCUUCGGCAAAAUACAGGUUAUGGAAUUAGUCACAGCAUUUUUCGGCUGUCUGGGCGGCGGUCUGAAGCUAGCAGUUCCCCCGCCGAACGCGAUCCAUCUCCGGCACGAGAUCCAACGACUUUACGGUGGAACCAGGACAACAGAGACUGGUCGAUUUCACUUGAAGUAUUUCCUGCUGUUAUCUCCAAUCAAAAGCUGUCAACACCAGAGCUGGACCACUAAGGGAAACAGAAACAUACAGACAGAGCUCACAGCUGUGGCGACAUGCAGAGGAGCGAUGGUGUUAAGAAAACUUGCUCAAUGCCAGUAUUUUGGCCAUCCAGUGUCUUCUCUGGAGAAGCUGAAGUGAUUCCGCUGCACAACAUUUCUGUGGAAGUCUCAAUACAUGUUGCUUUUUUUGCGAAUAUUCCUGAUGUCAUUCACCUCGAUGAAGUCCCCAUCCUGCUGCCCAGGCCGAACGAACCAGCGCAGCUGUCAGAUUCUUCGCAGAUUUACAGUAAGCCUCCAC
Molecule: long non-coding RNA, 592 nt
Organism: Megalobrama amblycephala (Wuchang bream)
Lineage: Eukaryota; Metazoa; Chordata; Actinopteri; Cypriniformes; Xenocyprididae
Exons: 5
Source: RefSeq, a predicted model, not a curated record